Molecule: transfer RNA, 69 nt
Filed under: Osteochilus nashii (Nash's barb)
Lineage: Eukaryota; Metazoa; Chordata; Actinopteri; Cypriniformes; Cyprinidae
Description: tRNA-His
Rfam family: tRNA
About the family: Transfer RNA (tRNA) molecules are approximately 80 nucleotides in length. Their secondary structure includes four short double-helical elements and three loops (D, anti-codon, and T loops). Further hydrogen bonds mediate the characteristic L-shaped molecular structure. tRNAs have two regions of fundamental functional importance: the anti-codon, which is responsible for specific mRNA codon recognition, and the 3' end, to which the tRNAs corresponding amino acid is attached (by aminoacyl-tRNA synthetases). tRNAs cope with the degeneracy of the genetic code in two manners: having more than one tRNA (with a specific anti-codon) for a particular amino acid; and 'wobble' base-pairing, i.e. permitting non-standard base-pairing at the 3rd anti-codon position.
Source: RNAcentral
GUAAGUAUAAUUUAAUAAAAAUAUUAGAUUGUGAUUCUGAAAAUAGGAGUUAAAGUCCCCUUACUCACC